UGAGCGCCAGCACCUGACGAUUCGAUUGGGUUGUGAGAGAGAAAGACGCUCCGCCAGGGUGGAUUUCGAGCUCGGAUCACCCUCGGGUCUCGGAUGGUGUUCCCUGGGGAGCACGCGCGUGGAUCUGCCGGCAGUAGUGUCGGCUGGCAACUCACCGGUAUGAGAUCACUUCGCACCUUCUCGGCGUUCCGCCAUUGUCGAAGCUUGCAUCGCCGCCAUAGGAAAUCGUGUGCUAGCUGGUCGUAGCGGGGCGAGGCACACCAUCGCCCCGGAGUUGCUUAUAGAUCAAUAGCGAAUGAUGAUCGGGGCACGUCCGUCGUCGUCGGUGUCUGCGUUGCUCCGUGGAGCGCACUGGCGUAAUAUUCCAUCGAGGAAGAAGAGGCUUUAGCCUUUGAUCCGGCCCUAGACGGUUAGGAUUAGAAGUAUGUCGCGGGAGCCAGGGACCGUGGGAUUUUAAGCAGAGGGUUUAGAUCAGUUUGGCUUUUUUUCCCUCCGCUCGAUUAAAUCUUAUCCGUUGAUGCGAGAUCCGGUGGCGCGAAAUGGUGCUGUGAGUCGUUAAAUCCGAACCAUAGAAGUUUAACCGGUUGGCGGAUAGGCCGAUCUAAUCAGGGCGCUCCGUAGUCGAUCUGACGGCCCCUAUCAACAGAUACCCCUUCGCCAAGUCGAUUUUGUAAAAGAGCCCUCUUGGAAUUCAGGAACUAACCCGCAGUCUAGUGAAUAGUGUUCUGAGUCUAGGAUUUAUUACACCGAGGCCCCUGGGUUUCUGUUUAAUCAUGCGCUCAGUCCAAAUAUUGGUUAUAACAGGGAAACUAAUUGAGAAAUUGAUUUUUUUAUAUAAAAACAAAUGCCUAGAACUUGUUUAAUUCAUAUAAAAUUCAUAUGAAGUCCAAAUCAAUCCAUUUCAAUUUCUAUAAUUUUAUAAUAUUAUUGUUUAUCAGUUAGUGCCACUGUUUUGACAUGAAUGUCACAUUAAAAUUUAUACCCUAAGUAAUCUUGUAUCAAAUACAUGGAACCUUUGGAAACUCACAACUCACAAUCUGUAACUCCGAUUUGAUUCGUUCAAGUUGUGUUAGUCUCGUAUAAAUAUUUACUAUGACAUAACAACAUUUAUUAUACCAUGUCUUAUUAUUUUAUGAUUAGAUAAUUAUUUAACUUAUGUUGGUUAGUCUUGAUAAUGUGCUCAUCAUUAUCUACCAAAAUAUAAUCUAUGGUUAAUUUAUAACUUAGAUUAAAGUUGAGAUAAGUAUUUAUAGAAUAACUUCUUAUAUGAUUUGUAUUAACCAAUUUAUAAUAUAGUUUAACAUUUUAAUCACAUAAAUUCUCCAUGAAAUCAUAACUCCUUAACCGUAACUCCGAUUUUAGUGGUUCUCGUUCCCGCGAUCUCGAAGCAACGCGUAGAUAAUUAUUAUUGUGUAUUUUAUUUAUAUGUUUGGUGUGAUGUUAAUUUUGCCUGCACCAUGUUUGUCUGUAUUGCUACGUUUAGCAGUGAGGACACGUGUCAUCUGAAGAGCAAGUUGGUACCUGAAAUCUCAAGUGCCAGGCAAGUUGUGCCCUUGAUCACUUCUUUUUACCCAGUCAUGUUCUAAUUAAUCAUAAUGAUCUGCAUAGGUUAAUUUUGAUGGGACCCAAUAGGUUACCCUAGUUUGAUUAUCUUUAUACCUUGUUUACCACUGAACUUUUUGGGUAGUACUUGCUAGUGCUUUAUGUGGUUUUGGGUAUGAAGAUACAUUAUUCAUGAUCACACUUUUAUUAUCUGUUUAUUAUCACUGUUCAUGAUAAGAUCAUUAUGUUAAUUGGAACAUGGAGAACCACCCGGGAAAACAGUGCUACCACAAGGGUUUAAUGGGACGCCCUUGGCCGAUUAAUUAGGAAAGCUAGUGGAAGACUACCUUACCCGAAAGGGGCAAGGGCAGUAGGGGAGUGGUCAGUGUAGGGAGGCCCUCGGGAGGAUUUUGCUGCGAUGGCGGUCCUGCAAGGGAUUCCUGCAUUGGAGCUUCCUAUAAACUGUAGCGGGUUUUCUGAAGCUAGUGGAACUUUGUAAAGGCCUCGUAGUGUUACCCUGCCUCGCCUCCUCGGUAGAGGUGUAUGGGAAGUCGCGAUCCCUUGGCAGAUGGGUAACAUGACUUGUGGGUAAAGAUGCGCAACCUCUGCAGAGUGUAAAACUGGUAUACUAGCCGUGCUCACGGUCAUGAGCGGCUCGGACACUCACAUGAUUAAAUUAUGGAACUUAAACUCAAUUUGUCAUAUGCAUUGCAUCGCAGGUGAGGUUGUUACUUUUUGUUCUACUACUUAAUUGGGUUGGUAUUUACUUAUACUUAGUAAUUGCUAAUAAAAUUUUGACCAACUUUAAAAGCAAUGCUCAGCUCUAAACAUCCUCUUUGGUAAGCCUUACACUUCACGUGAGCUCCCACCUUUGGCGAGUUCAUGCACAUUAUUCCCCACAACUUGUUGAGCAAUGAACGUAUGUGAGCUCACUCUUGCUGUCUCACACCCCCCCACAGGUCAAGAACAGGUACCACAGGAUGAGGCGCGUGGAGGAUGCUGUGAUGAGUUCGUGAGUGGUCUAGGCCGUCGUCUCCCAGUCAACUUUGGGUUGCUGGAUCGUUUCCUCAUAUGAUGU
RNAcentral lists this long non-coding RNA (2620 nucleotides) under Zea mays. Its description in RNAcentral is "long non-coding RNA (ZMAY_LNC001074)". Lineage: Eukaryota; Viridiplantae; Streptophyta; Magnoliopsida; Poales; Poaceae. The record is from RNAcentral.